GAAUUCGCCCUUCGGUAAUUCCAGCUCCAAUAGCGUAUAUUAAAGUUGUUGCAGUUAAAAAGCUCGUAGUUGAACCUUGGCUCUGGCUGGCCGGUCCGCCUCACCGCGAGUACUGGUCCGGCUGGAGCUUUCCCUCUGGGGAGCCUCAUGGCCUUCACUGGCUGUGGGGGGAACCAGGACUUCUACUGUGAAAAAAUUAGAGUGUUCAAAGCAGGCCUUUGCUCGAAUACAUUAGCAUGGAAUAAUAGAAUAGGACGUGCGGUUCUAUUUUGUUGGUUUCUAGGACCGCCGUAAUGAUUAAUAGGGAUAGUCGGGGGCGUCAGUAUUCAGCUGUCAGAGGUGAAAUUCUUGGAUUUGCUGAAGACUAACUACUGCGAAAGCAUUCGCCAAGGAUGUUUUCAUUAAUCAGGGAACGAAAGUUAGGGGAUCGAAGACGAUCAGAUACCGUCGUAGUCUUAACCAUAAACUAUGCCGACUAGGGAUCGGACGGGAUUCUAUUAUGACCCGUUCGGCACCUUACGAGAAAUCAAAGUUUUUGGGUUCUGGGGGGAGUAUGGUCGCAAGGCUGAAACUUAAAGAAAUUGACGGAAGGGCACCACAAGGCGUGGAGCCUGCGGCUUAAUUUGACUCAACACGGGGAAACUCACCAGGUCCAGACAAAAUAAGGAUUGACAGAUUGAGAGCUCUUUCUUGAUCUUUUGGAUGGUGGUGCAUGGCCGUUCUUAGUUGGUGGAGUGAUUUGUCUGCUUAAUUGCGAUAACGAACGAGACCUCGGCCCUUAAAUAGCCCGGUCCGCAUUUGCGGGCCGCUGGCUUCUUAGGGGGACUAUCGGCUCAAGCCGAUGGAAGUGCGCGGCAAUAACAGGUCUGUGAUGCCCUUCGAUGUUCUGGGCUGCACGCGCGCUACACUGAUGGAUUCAGAGAGUUUUGUCUUUGGCUGAGAAGUCUGGGUAAUCUUAAGAAAAUCCAUCGUGCUGGGGAUAGAUCAUUGAAAUUAUUGAUCUUCAACGAGGAAUUCCUCGUAAGUACAAGUCAUCAGCUUGUGCUGAAUACGUCCCUGCCCUUUGUACACACCGCCCGUCGCUCCUACCGAUUGGAUGAUCCGGUGAAGACAUCAGAUGGAGUGAUACUAACCGAAUAGGGGAAACUUUGUGAGGGGUAUUGUCCAGAAGUUGUCUAAACCUUAUUAUCUAGAGGAAGGAGAAGUCGUAACAAGGUAAGGGCGAAUUC
RNAcentral lists this ribosomal RNA (1229 nucleotides) under uncultured eukaryote. RNAcentral's name for it is "SSU rRNA". It matches the Rfam family "Eukaryotic small subunit ribosomal RNA", at positions 570 to 1831 of the family's 1831-position model. The record is from RNAcentral.